UUUAUGGAGAGUUUGAUCCUGGCUCAGGAUGAACGCUGGCGGCGUGCCUAAUACAUGCAAGUCGAGCGAACGGACGAGAAGCUUGCUUUUCUGAUGUUAGCGGCGGACGGGUGAGUAACACGUGGAUAACCUACCUAUAAGACUGGGAUAACUUCGGGAAACCGGAGCUAAUACCGGAUAAUAUUUAGAAGUGCAUGGUUCAAAAGUGAAUGACGGUCUUCCUGUCACCGAUAGACGGUUCCGCGAUGCAUUAGCUAGAUGGUAAGGUAACGGCUUACCAAGGCAACGAUGCAUAGCCGACCUGAGAGGGUGAUCGGCCACACUGGAACUGAGACACGGUCCAGACUCCUACGGGAGGCAGCAGUAGGGAAUCUUCCGCAAUGGGCGAAAGCCUGACGGAGCAACGCCGCGUGAGUGAUGAAGGUCUUCGGAUCGUAAAACUCUGUUAUUAGGGAAGAACAUAUGUGUAAGUAACUGUGCACAUCUUGACGGUACCUAAUCAGAAAGCCACGGCUAACUACGUGCCAGCAGCCGCGGUAAUACGUAGGUGGCAAGCGUUAUCCGGAAUUAUUGGGCGUAAAGCGCGCGUAGGCGGUUUUUUAAGUCUGAUGUGAAAGCCCACGGCUCAACCGUGGAGGGUCAUUGGAAACUGGAAAACUUGAGUGCAGAAGAGGAAAGUGGAAUUCCAUGUGUAGCGGUGAAAUGCGCAGAGAUAUGGAGGAACACCAGUGGCGAAGGCGACUUUCUGGUCUGUAACUGACGCUGAUGUGCGAAAGCGUGGGGAUCAAACAGGAUUAGAUACCCUGGUAGUCCACGCCGUAAACGAUGAGUGCUAAGUGUUAGGGGGUUUCCGCCCCUUAGUGCUGCAGCUAACGCAUUAAGCACUCCGCCUGGGGAGUACGACCGCAAGGUUGAAACUCAAAGGAAUUGACGGGGACCCGCACAAGCGGUGGAGCAUGUGGUUUAAUUCGAAGCAACGCGAAGAACCUUACCAAAUCUUGACAUCCUUUGACAACUCUAGAGAUAGAGCCUUCCCCUUCGGGGGACAAAGUGACAGGUGGUGCAUGGUUGUCGUCAGCUCGUGUCGUGAGAUGUUGGGUUAAGUCCCGCAACGAGCGCAACCCUUAAGCUUAGUUGCCAUCAUUAAGUUGGGCACUCUAAGUUGACUGCCGGUGACAAACCGGAGGAAGGUGGGGAUGACGUCAAAUCAUCAUGCCCCUUAUGAUUUGGGCUACACACGUGCUACAAUGGACAAUACAAAGGGCAGCGAAACCGCGAGGUCAAGCAAAUCCCAUAAAGUUGUUCUCAGUUCGGAUUGUAGUCUGCAACUCGACUACAUGAAGCUGGAAUCGCUAGUAAUCGUAGAUCAGCAUGCUACGGUGAAUACGUUCCCGGGUCUUGUACACACCGCCCGUCACACCACGAGAGUUUGUAACACCCGAAGCCGGUGGAGUAACCUUUUAGGAGCUAGCCGUCGAAGGUGGGACAAAUGAUUGGGGUGAAGUCGUAACAAGGUAGCCGUAUCGGAAGGUGCGGCUGGAUCACCUCCUUUCU
Molecule: ribosomal RNA, 1554 nt
Filed under: Staphylococcus aureus
Lineage: Bacteria; Bacillati; Bacillota; Bacilli; Caryophanales; Staphylococcaceae
Description: 16S ribosomal RNA
Rfam family: Bacterial small subunit ribosomal RNA
Source: RNAcentral